GUAUCUGUCUAAAUUUUUGCUGUGCUCUGGGACUUUACAUGAUUACCUGACCUCUCUGCUUUUCAGCUCUCUCCUAUUCACGGAUUUUAGUUCUGGUGUCUGUGCCUCUGAUCUGAACAUAGUCACUUUGAGGAAAAGAGACAAAGGGGUGGGAAUCUGAUGAGCUUUUAAGUUAGAUGUUCCGAGUCUGGGGUGAGGGGAGGGGCGGGUUGUUCUGUGAGACAAGCUGUAUGGCUGCCGUGGGACAAAGCCUUCACCAGGAGGAAUAGAGCGAGGAAGGAGAAGAUCACUAAGAGAAACACACUUUAGUGAGAUUAAGUCCUAUCCAGAAAUCAACCUACUAUGUUGCAUAUUGGAAAAGUCCUUCCAUCCAGCUGUUACUUAUGAAACAAGUGCUGUCUCCAAGCAACAGUCACCAAGAACUUGAGUCCCAAGGACAGCUACGUGAGUGGCCUUAGAAAUGGAAUUUCGCAUCCAGCUGAAAGCCACGUAUGUGGCGAAUCUGGAAAGCAGAUCCUUCAUCAGUUGAGCUUUGAUAUGACUGCAGCCCAUUGCUCUAUCUUGAACACAGCCUUUAUGCCCUGAGCGAAAGAGGCCUGGUUGAGGUAGACCAG
Molecule: long non-coding RNA, 614 nt
Filed under: Chinchilla lanigera (long-tailed chinchilla)
Lineage: Eukaryota; Metazoa; Chordata; Mammalia; Rodentia; Chinchillidae
Description: lncRNA (ENSCLAG00000026318.1)
Source: RNAcentral